CAGCAGCCGCGGUAAUACGGAGGGCGCGAGCGUUACCCGGAUUUACUGGGCGUAAAGGGCGCGUAGGCGGCCUGGGGCGUCCCAUGUGAAAGGCCACGGCUCAACCGUGGAGGAGCGUGGGAUACGCUCAGGCUAGAGGGUGGGAGAGGGUGGUGGAAUUCCCGGAGUAGCGGUGAAAUGCGCAGAUACCGGGAGGAACGCCGAUGGCGAAGGCAGCCACCUGGUCCACUUCUGACGCUGAGGCGCGAAAGCGUGGGGAGCAAACCGGAUUAGAUACCCCAGUAGUCCCUGUCUCUUAUAC
RNAcentral lists this ribosomal RNA (301 nucleotides) under uncultured bacterium. RNAcentral's name for it is "partial 16S ribosomal RNA". It matches the Rfam family "Bacterial small subunit ribosomal RNA", at positions 509 to 807 of the family's 1533-position model. The record is from RNAcentral.